This 506-nucleotide ribosomal RNA is filed under the name uncultured bacterium. Its description in RNAcentral is "bacterial SSU rRNA". It matches the Rfam family "Bacterial small subunit ribosomal RNA", at positions 235 to 732 of the family's 1533-position model. The record is from RNAcentral.
GGCGCAUUAGCUAGUUGCUGAGGUAACGGCUCACCAAGGCGACGAUGCGUAGCCGACCUGAGAGGGUGAUCGGCCACACUGGGACUGAGACACGGCCCAGACUCCUACGGGAGGCAGCAGUAGGGAAUCUUCCGCAAUGGACGAAAGUCUGACGGAGCAACGCCGCGUGAGUGAUGAAGGUUUUCGGAUCGUAAAGCUCUGUUGUUAGGGAAGAACAAGUGCCGUUCAAAUAGGGCGGCACCUUGACGGUACCUAACCAGAAAGCCACGGUUAACUACGUGCCAGCAGCCGCGGUAAUACGUAGGUGGCAAGCGUUGUCCGGAAUUAUUGGGCGUAAAGGGCUCGCAGGCGGUUUCUUAAGUCUGAUGUGAAAGCCCCCGGCUCAACCGGGGAGGGUCAUUGGAAACUGGGGAACUUGAGUGCAGAAGAGGAGAGUGGAAUUCCACGUGUAGCGGUGAAAUGCGUAGAGAUGUGGAGGAACACCAGUGGCGAAGGCGACUCUCUGG